Molecule: ribosomal RNA, 500 nt
Filed under: uncultured bacterium
Lineage: Bacteria
Description: partial 16S ribosomal RNA
Rfam family: Bacterial small subunit ribosomal RNA
Source: RNAcentral
AUUGAACGCUGGCGGCAUGCCUUACACAUGCAAGUCGAGCGGCAGCGCGGGGGCAACCCUGGCGGCGGGCGGCGAACGGGUGAGUAAUACAUCGGAACGUGUCCUGUCGUGGGGGAUAACCAGUCGAAAGACUGGCUAAUACCGCAUGAGAUCGAAGGAUGAAAGCGGGGGACCGCAAGGCCUCCCGCGAUUGGAGCGGCCGAUGUCGGAUUAGCUAGUUGGCGGGGUAAAAGCCCACCAAGGCGACGAUCCGUAGCUGGUUUGAGAGAACGACCAGCCACACUGGGACUGAGACACGGCCCAGACUCCUACGGGAGGCAGCAGUGGGGAAUUUUGGACAAUGGGGGCAACCCUGAUCCAGCCAUGCCGCGUGUGUGAAGAAGGCCUUCGGGUUGUAAAGCACUUUCGGCCGGAACGAAAUCGCGCGGGCUAUUACCCCGCGUGGAUGACGGUACCGGAAGAAGAAGCACCGGCUAACUACGUGCCAGCAGCCGCCGCGG